AAUGCCAGUUUCUAACUCCCAGAAACCCAUUCUAGGACCCAAACACAUGUGAUCUCUUUGGGAAAUUUUCUAGUUCAGUUCAACAAAUGGUAGGCUUUAUCGAUGGUCUCCAGUCCUCUGUGAUGAGUUACUUGGUCUUGUUGCUAUCAUCAAGAGUAUGUAAGAGGUGGUUCAUUUGAAAGAAGAAUAGCAUUGCUUCUAUGCCUGCAAACUCCUUUUUAGAUCCAGCCUGCCAGAGGAGCUCUUUGGGAGAAUUGGUACUUCAUACAUGGAAGUAGAGGUCCCGCCUUGUUCUGUACACUGUCUUACUGAUUCUGCUGAGGGCUUGUACCCUGCACCAAAGCAUGAUUCCCGGAACACACUCCUUCGCCAGCCCCCAGGCCCUGGUAUAUGCUGUCUCUGCCUAGAAGAUUCCAUCUGCUUUCACCAUUUCCAAAUGCAGAGUCCCAACUUCAAGGCCCAGCUUUAGUGUCAAGCUGUCCACAAAGGUUUUCCAGAUCCCUCCUGGACUCUUCCUCCCUUGUGUUUCCAUGGCCCUUUCCUGUACUUAAAAAAAGAGCAUGCACCACAAUCUGCUGAGUGUUCUACUUAUUACAUUCACAUCAGCCUCAUGGUCUAUAGAGGGCAAACCAGGGUAUCUAGAAAAAUGCCUUAUAUACAUCAGAUUCUCAAUAAACAUCAAGUUUCUUAUUUAUCA
Molecule: long non-coding RNA, 697 nt
Filed under: Vulpes vulpes (red fox)
Lineage: Eukaryota; Metazoa; Chordata; Mammalia; Carnivora; Canidae
Description: lncRNA (ENSVVUG00000005023.1)
Source: RNAcentral